AAUAUGUAUGAAAAAAAAAAAGAAAAGAAAAUUUAAAGUUAAAGAAAAAAAUUUUACCACGUCUUAUAACUGUUUGCACCAAACUGUACCCACAAACUGACGCAAAUGUGAAAAUAGCUGAUUCAUACACAAAUCUACCAACGCAACGGACGAAGAAAAUAUAUUCAUCAAAUGAUCUCGUACUAUUUAAGUUAAAAUAUAUAUAUGUUUUUUUUUUUAAUUUUAAGUUUUAUAAAUAAAAUAUUUAUACAAAAUCAUAUGAUAAGUUUCAAUAAAUUUUACAAACUUAAUUUUUUACAAAUGUAAAUACAUACUAAGCGAUCGAAACCGGUUUGCCUCUAAACCAAAUUUGACAAGGGAUGACUAAAAUUCGUUCCGACAUACAUUGCACACUAAGUACUUAUUCUUCUUUUAACCAUUCCAUUUUAAAUUUAAGUACAUUUAUUAGUUCUAAUGAUUUAAUUU
Long non-coding RNA from Rhagoletis zephyria (snowberry fruit fly), 465 nucleotides. RefSeq lists it as uncharacterized. Lineage: Eukaryota; Metazoa; Arthropoda; Insecta; Diptera; Tephritidae. The record is from RefSeq and is a predicted model, not a curated record.